UCUCAAUGUCAGCCUUAGGAAGGGUAACAUCCACAUCUGGGCCCUCUCCUUUGAAUCCUGGCAUGCUGAAUUUGGGCAUUUUCACCUUGGGCAUCUUCAGGUGCCAGUCUGGGCCAUGAACAUCCACAUCUGGGGCAUCAAUGUCCACUUUGGGCCCUCUGAUGUCAACAUCUGGCACUUUCAUUUCACCUUCUACCUUGGGAACAGACACAUCCAUAUCCCCUUUGACUUUGGGGCCUUUCAAAUGUAAGUCCACAUCAGGCAUGGAGAUCUUGGGGA
This 279-nucleotide long non-coding RNA is filed under the name Homo sapiens (human). RNAcentral's name for it is "HSALNT0176129". Lineage: Eukaryota; Metazoa; Chordata; Mammalia; Primates; Hominidae. The record is from RNAcentral.